Dromiciops gliroides (monito del monte) is the source of this 1673-nucleotide RNA transcript. It is a transcript of the gene named family with sequence similarity 174 member A, with no coding region annotated. Lineage: Eukaryota; Metazoa; Chordata; Mammalia; Microbiotheria; Microbiotheriidae. The transcript is spliced from 4 exons. The record is from RefSeq and is a predicted model, not a curated record.
CCCCAGUGGCCUGGGCCUGGUCUCAGCCGGCGGUUCCUCCUCCUGGGCGUCCGCCUCCUCUUCUGCUGCGCCCAUGGUUCCUCCCGGAGCCCGGGCCUGUGCCGGGGCCAGGACGGUGGGGCCCGCGAUUGCGGCGUGGUGAGCGGGCGGCGCGGGGAUGAUGCGGGCCUCGCGUUGCCGCUGCUGCUGCUGCCACCGCUUGGUGUCGGCCGCGCUGCUGCUGGCGCUGAGCGGUCAGCUGUCGUCGCUGCUGCUGCUGUUGCUGUUACCGGACAGAGCGGCCGCCCACGUCCCGUUCCAGUCUUCUCAGGGGACCCCGCUGACGCCAUCCCAGCCCCCGCCUCCGCCCCGGGCCUCAGGCACUGCCUUCCCGGCCGGGCCGGGCCUCUUGGGCCUCCCAAGCAGCGGCCGAACCGUGUCCCCUUCCGGGCAGGCCGGAAUCAGCGGCAAUGGCAGCGGCCCCGCAGCUGGGCCUGCUGGGGUCGGAGGGGGCGGGCUGGCCGUGUCCCCGAAUUCCGGCGACAAGCCUAUGACCCAGAGGGCCCUGUUGGUGCUGAUGGCGGUGAGCGCCGCGGUCCUUGUGUACUUUGUGAUCAGAACCAUCAGAAUGAGAAGAAGAAAUAGAAAGACACGAAGAUAUGGAGUUUUGGACACAAAUCUGGAAAAUAUGGAAUUAACACCUUUAGAACAAGAUGAUGAUGAUGAUGAUACAACUUUGUUUGAUGCCAAUCAUCCCCGAAGGUUUUGGUGAUAUUCCUGUAUCCUGGUUCUCCUCCUACCUGUCUGACCAGUCCUUCUCAGUCUCCUUUGCUGAAUCUUCUUCCAGUCCACUGAAGAUAAGAAUGUGCCUUUAAUGAGAGAACUUCAUUGGUGAACAUCGAAGAAAGAAGCUUAUGAUUAAGGAAUAAAAAGCUAAUAUCAGUCACAGCAUGGGGUGUAUUUAAGUUAUAUAUAUUAUGACCUUUAAUUUGUUGUUGAAAUAAAUACUGUAUCAGUUUGUUGCAUCUUUGUAUAUAUAGGAAUGUUCUAUUAAAGAGCUCAAAUCUGAAAAAAAAAUGCAGUAAAAUAGAAAUCUACUUGAAAAUUACCAUUAAAAUAGAGUUUUUUCAACUUUGUUUUCUUUCCUGCUUGCCAUAAUGUGGUGAACAGUUUCUGUUUAUAUGCUAAUCAGCUAUUGUUAAUUGUUUUGCUGGUGUAAUGUUUAAGUAAUUAUCAAUUGUAACUACCCACUGAAGUACAAAUUCUCUAAUAUAAUUUAAUUUUUUUUUCUCCAACAAAAUGUAUUUCCCAUUUUUGGGGGGAAAUGCCAGAUGUAUUGCUUUGUUUUUGAGUAUUUUUUAAACUAUAUAACUAUAUGAACUAUUGUAUGCAAAGCAAUAAAUGUGAUUUUAAAAGGUUUCAAGUGUUCUAAAAGGAAUAUGAAAGGCAGUGUAAUUUGAAGAUAAAAGCUUAUUUCCAAAAUAACUUUAAAAAUUCUAUGGUAUUAUUUCAAUAAUAUGUAUUUCUCCUGGUUUCAAGAAGUUUUGUGAGUGUUACAUAUUACUAACAUUGCUGUCGUAUAUAAUUCUAUAGUUUCAUAAACCUGGAUGUAUGUAAGAUAUUCAUUUCAAAGACUUUAAAAAAAAUUUUUAGACUUAAGAUAUUUUAAAAAACCAUUAAAUUUCAAAGAUUUA